GCAAAGUUCAUCACCUGUAUUUUUGCUAAUAAAGAUCCCAAGACAUCUAACAUCUUUCUCAUGCUUGUGCUUGUUGGCCAGUCACCAGCUUAACUGGGCUGAACUUCAGCAAAACCUCUUCAAAAAGCAUCCUGGCAAAGCAUGUGUAACACACAACGAGGACUGGGCAGCACAUAACACACAGCAGCUGUCUUCACUUUGCUUCAAAGUAAAUAUCUUCAAUGCCCGCCUGAGCUUUGGGGAUUUCAAGCCCUUAUCUCUUAUCUGCAAAGAGAGCAGGAACUGUGGUCAGGAAGCUAUAACUUUUUCAGCCCACAAAGCUGAAACACUUUCUGUGACUCAAAUGGCUUCAGCACAGCUAUUCCCUAGAAAACAUCCUCCCUGAUUUCUUGUGGCGCCUGUUAGAUUGCUGAAGUUGCAGCAAAGACAUGGAAAAAACACUGAGGUCUUAUUGCUCCUGUUGGAAACUUCUGCCGACUACAGCAAGAGUUGGACUGGGCCCAGAGAAA
This 509-nucleotide long non-coding RNA is filed under the name Phasianus colchicus (ring-necked pheasant). Its description in RNAcentral is "lncRNA (ENSPCLG00000015470.1)". Lineage: Eukaryota; Metazoa; Chordata; Aves; Galliformes; Phasianidae. The record is from RNAcentral.